RNAcentral lists this ribosomal RNA (253 nucleotides) under uncultured bacterium. RNAcentral describes it as "partial 16S ribosomal RNA". It matches the Rfam family "Bacterial small subunit ribosomal RNA", at positions 524 to 776 of the family's 1533-position model. The record is from RNAcentral.
UACAGAGGUCCCGAGCGUUGUUCGGAUUCACUGGGCGGAAAGGGUGCGUAGGUGGCUUGGAAAGUUUGAUGUGAAAGCUCAGGGCUUAACCCUGAAAUGGCAUUGAAUACUGUCGAGCUGGAGGUUUGGAGGGGGGACUGGAAUUCUUGGUGUAGCAGUGAAAUGCGUAGAUAUCAAGAGGAACACCAGUGGCGAAGGCGAGUCCCUGGACAACACCUGACACUGAGGCACGAAAGCUAGGGGAGCAAACAGG